AACGCACAUUGCGCUCUCUGGUAUUCCGGAGAGCAUGCUUGUUUGAGUAUCAGUAAACACCUCAACUCCUUUAUUGUAGUUGGACUUGAGCUAUCCCAACAGGACUUUUUGUUCCUGGCGGGAGGCUUGAAAUGCAGGUGCAGCUGGACUUUCUUCUGAGCUAUAAGCAUAUUUAUUUAAUCCCUUAACACGGAUUAUUACUUUUGCUGCAGCUAACAUAAAGGAUAAUUGUCCUCUUUGCUGACUGAUGCAGGAUUUUACGACACUUUAUGUGUUGUUCAACUCGAUCUCAAAUCAAGUAAGACUACCCGCUGAACUUAA
Molecule: unclassified non-coding RNA, 321 nt
Filed under: uncultured Mortierella
Lineage: Eukaryota; Fungi; Mortierellomycota; Mortierellomycetes; Mortierellales; Mortierellaceae
Description: sequence contains ITS2
Source: RNAcentral